This 231-nucleotide unclassified non-coding RNA is filed under the name Paxillus rubicundulus. Its description in RNAcentral is "partial internal transcribed spacer 2". Lineage: Eukaryota; Fungi; Basidiomycota; Agaricomycetes; Boletales; Paxillaceae. The record is from RNAcentral.
AAUUCUCAACCAUCCCUCGAUUGAUUUUUCGAGGUUUGGCUUGGAUUUUGGGAGCUGCCGGCGACCGAUCGGGUCUUUGGCUCUCCUCAAAAGCAUUAGCGACGGCGGUGUGACCUCCCCCGUGCAUGAACGGCCUUCGACGUGAUAAUGAUCGUCGUGGGCUGGAGUGCUAGCGGGCGUCGCGUCGCGUUCGGCGCUUCUAAUUCUCGUCGAAAGACGAAAUAUAUCGAA